GACAUUAUUAUUGGCGAUGUUGCAUUUUCUACUUCCUUUAAUAGAAAGUGUGCAGCGUUUAAGCUCAGAGCUUAGUCGUCGUUUCGUUCUUUCCGUUUAUGCUCUUCUGUUGUCAUGUCACAGCAUGAGUUUAAAGUUGUAUCUUUACAAUGUAGGGAGGGUGGAGCUUUGAUCAAAGCAAGGACAGAGAGGAAGAGGAAGCUGUGGGGCCAGUAGUUAAUCUCGCCUCAUUUUUUAGAAACUUGCAUCUUGUUCUUCUCAACUUUUUAUUAUGAUCUGCGUGUGUGUCCUGUGGCUGGUACUUUGUGAGUAUUCUCUGACUGUCGGGGUGAAGAGUCUCAGACAAACAGGAUACGUUGGGCAAAAUGUAACAUUCCAGUGCUCAGACUGGGAGGGUUACACUUGGAGUGAUGUAACAUCUUACGUUAAGUACAUUAGUACAGAGAACAAGCAUGAGAUCAUGAGAGUAAAACCUGGAGACAUUAAUCAAAAGGACAGAAUAUCUUUAUACAACAAUGGAGGAACUUUGUCUGUGACCUUCACUGAUGUCCAGAAGUCAGACUCUGGGACUUAUUACUGUGGACUGGAUAGGUGGGGACAUGACAUAUAUAUACAGGUGAUCCUUCACGUUAUAGAUGGUGAGUUAAUGCCACUUGGUUUUUGUCUAACAAAAUAA
This 676-nucleotide long non-coding RNA is filed under the name Betta splendens (Siamese fighting fish). RNAcentral's name for it is "lncRNA (ENSBSLG00000015866.1)". Lineage: Eukaryota; Metazoa; Chordata; Actinopteri; Anabantiformes; Osphronemidae. The record is from RNAcentral.